AAUGACCCUUGUCAUCACUCUCAGCAUGGGAGACAGAAGAAACAAAUGAAAAAACACACCCAAAAGAUGGUUUCUAGAACAGACCACUUGGAUAAUAGAUGAGACACUGUGCUCGUGGAUCACAUGGGCCUCCAGAGGCUUUGUUCCCACUGUGUAUUAUGGUAUGCUGGGUGGCUUCAUGUUGACAAAACUACGGGAACUUCAGGGUCUCAACCGGACCACCAUCCCAAAGUGAUGAAAAUGUUGUCUAACUUCAAAGUUUAAGAAUACUUCCUUAGUAACAUGUUUCCAGUUUUAAAGUUGUAUUUUCUUGAUCACACUUCUU
Molecule: long non-coding RNA, 325 nt
Filed under: Homo sapiens (human)
Lineage: Eukaryota; Metazoa; Chordata; Mammalia; Primates; Hominidae
Description: non-protein coding lnc-ALPK1-5:1
Source: RNAcentral